Molecule: ribosomal RNA, 244 nt
Filed under: uncultured bacterium
Lineage: Bacteria
Description: partial 16S ribosomal RNA
Rfam family: Bacterial small subunit ribosomal RNA
Source: RNAcentral
CGGAGGUGCAAGCGUUAAUCGGAAUUACUGGCGUAAGCGCACGCAGGCGGUCUGUCAAGUCGGAUGUGAAUCCCCGGGCUCAACCUGGGAACUGCAUUCGAACUGGCAGGCUAGAGUCUUGUAGAGGGGUAGAAUUCCAGGUGUAGCGGUGAAAUGCGUAGAGAUCUGGAGGAAUACCGGUGGCGAAGGCGGCCCCUGGACAAGACUGACGCUCAGGUGCGAAAGCGUGGGAGCAAACAGGAUU